This 407-nucleotide ribosomal RNA is filed under the name uncultured bacterium. RNAcentral's name for it is "partial 16S ribosomal RNA". It matches the Rfam family "Bacterial small subunit ribosomal RNA", at positions 28 to 526 of the family's 1533-position model. The record is from RNAcentral.
GAUGAACGCUAGCUAUAGGCUUAACACAUGCAAGUCGAGGGACCGGCGCACGGGUGAGUAACGCGUAUCCAACCUACCCAUAACUAAGGGAUAACCCAGCGAAAGUUGGACUAAUACCUUAUGAUUAUGGAUGGGGGUGCGUCUGAUUAGCUUGUUGUCGGGGUAACGGCCCACCAAGGCAACGAUCAGUAGGUGUUCUGAGAGGAAGGUCCCCCACAUUGUAACGGAGACACGGUCCAAACUCCUACGGGAGGCAGCAGUGUGGAAUACUGGGCAAUGGACCCAAGUCUGACCCAGCCAAGUAGCGUGCAGGAUGACGGCCUAUGGGUUGUAAACUGCUUUUAUAUGGGGAUAGGUACCAUAUGAAUAAGCACCGGCUAAUUCCGUGCCAGCAGCCGCGGUAAUUC